GUCGAGAAUCUUUCACAAUGGGGGCAACCCUGAUGGAGCGACGCCGCGUGGAGGAUAAGGUCUUCGGAUUGUAAACUCCUGUCAUGCGUGAACAAGGUUGCUUGGUUAAUACCUGGGCAAAUUGAUGGUAACGCAAGAGGAAGAGACGGCUAACUCUGUGCCAGCAGCCGCGGUAAUACAGAGGUCUCAAGCGUUGUUCGGAAUCACUUGGCGUAAAGGGUGCGUAGGUGGCGUGGUAAGUCAGAUGGGAAAGCCCGGGGCUCAACCUCGGAACUGCAUACGAUACUGCAAUGUUAGAGUACUGGAGAGGUGACUAGAAUUCUCGGUGUAGCAGUGAAAUGCGUAGAUAUCGAGAGGAAUACCAAAGGCGUAGGCAGGUCACUGGACAGUUACUGACACUGAGGCACGAAGGCCAGGGGAGCGAACGGGAUUAGAAACCCCUGUAGUCC
RNAcentral lists this ribosomal RNA (449 nucleotides) under uncultured bacterium. Its description in RNAcentral is "partial 16S ribosomal RNA". It matches the Rfam family "Bacterial small subunit ribosomal RNA", at positions 354 to 796 of the family's 1533-position model. The record is from RNAcentral.